RNAcentral lists this long non-coding RNA (367 nucleotides) under Pan troglodytes (chimpanzee). Its description in RNAcentral is "long non-coding RNA NONPTRT003854". The record is from RNAcentral. Lineage: Eukaryota; Metazoa; Chordata; Mammalia; Primates; Hominidae.
AACAUACACCAGGAAAAUAAAUAUUUGGCAUGUUCUGCUUCUUCUUGUCAUUAUUUCCCCCCAAUUGAUUAGAAUUGCCCAUGUGAUUUUGAGAAGACAACAGCAAUACCUGGUCAUCUAUAUUAGCAAUUAUGUGUCUAGUUUCAUGAACAAGGCUUCUGGUGAAGUUCUCUACACCAAAUUAUUUACUUUGAAAUACGCUUCACUAAUUAGUGCUUCUGUCAGUAUAUGCCUUCAGAGUCAUUCUGAAGACAUGCAAACCACCCACUUAUCCAUAAGCUGUGCCCGGCAACCUAAGGAUUUAGAUAUAAACAUAACGGUGAAUUGUGGGAUAAGGCCAGAGAGGGCAAGAUGGUUCACAGUCACU